UUUCAUUGAAAUAUAUUCAAUACAGAUAGCUUUUCAUUGAAGCGAGAUUUGAUCUAUGUCAGUGGCAACUUCCAACAGCUAUGACACAGGUGUCAAGCAAAACUUGAAUUUUAUAUGUCAGCAUGAUCGUCAGAUUGAAGAAAUCACAUUAAUAAGAACCAACAUGGAAUCUCAACACGUAAUACAGAUGAACACAAAGAAACACGGAUAGAUUGAGGCAGAAAAUGCAGAGACUAUGAAUCUUCUUGGAUCCACAUGAAGUACAGGAGGUAAUAUUACAACGUGGGACAAGGCACCGAGC
Molecule: long non-coding RNA, 301 nt
Organism: Symphalangus syndactylus (siamang)
Lineage: Eukaryota; Metazoa; Chordata; Mammalia; Primates; Hylobatidae
Source: RefSeq, a predicted model, not a curated record